AUACGGAGGGUCCGGGCGUUAUCCGGAUUUAUUGGGUUUAAAGGGAGCGCAGGCGGAGAUGCAAGCGUGACGUCAAAUUUCGGGGCUCAACCCCGUCUCGCGUCGCGAACUGCGUCCCUUGGUUGCGGGAAGGGGAGGCGGAACUCGUGGUGUAGCGGUGAAAUACAUAGAUAUCACGAAGAACUCCGAUCGCGAAGGCAGCCUUCCGGCCCGUCAACGACGCUCAUGCUCGAAGGUGCGGGUAUCAAACAGGAUUAGAUACCCUGGUAGUCCGCACAGUAAACGAUGGACACCCGCGGUUUGGCCUGUAUGGCUGAGCCGCCAAGCGAAAGCGUUAAGUGUCCCACCUGGGGAGUACGCCGGCAACGGUGAAACUCAAAUGAAUUGACGGGG
Molecule: ribosomal RNA, 393 nt
Filed under: uncultured bacterium
Lineage: Bacteria
Description: partial 16S ribosomal RNA
Rfam family: Bacterial small subunit ribosomal RNA
Source: RNAcentral